Molecule: ribosomal RNA, 663 nt
Filed under: uncultured bacterium
Lineage: Bacteria
Description: bacterial SSU rRNA
Rfam family: Bacterial small subunit ribosomal RNA
Source: RNAcentral
UGAGUCCGCAUGUUCACAUGAUUAAAGGUAUUCCGGUAGACGAUGGGGAUGCGUUCCAUUAGAUAGUAGGCGGGGUAACGGCCCACCUAGUCUUCGAUGGAUAGGGGUUCUGAGAGGAAGGUCCCCCACAUUGGAACUGAGACACGGUCCAAACUCCUACGGGAGGCAGCAGUGAGGAAUAUUGGUCAAUGGGCGAGAGCCUGAACCAGCCAAGUAGCGUGAAGGAUGACUGCCCUAUGGGUUGUAAACUUCUUUUAUAAAGGAAUAAAGUCGGGUAUGGAUACCCGUUUGCAUGUACUUUAUGAAUAAGGAUCGGCUAACUCCGUGCCAGCAGCCGCGGUAAUACGGAGGAUCCGAGCGUUAUCCGGAUUUAUUGGGUUUAAAGGGAGCGUAGAUGGAUGUUUAAGUCAGUUGUGAAAGUUUGCGGCUCAACCGUAAAAUUGCAGUUGAUACUGGAUAUCUUGAGUGCAGUUGAGGCAGGCGGAAUUCGUGGUGUAGCGGUGAAAUGCUUAGAUAUCACGAAGAACUCCGAUUGCGAAGGCAGCCUGCUAAGCUGCAACUGACAUUGAGGCUCGAAAGUGUGGGUAUCAAACAGGAUUAGAUACCCUGGUAGUCCACACGGUAAACGAUGAAUACUCGCUGUUUGCGAUAUACAGCAAGCGG